UACGGAGGGUGCAAGCGUUAUUCGGAUUUACUGGGCGUAAAGGGAGCGCAGGCUGCCAGAUAAGUCAGAUGUGAAAGCCCGGGGCUCAACCCCGGAAGUGCAUUUGAAACUGUUUGGCUUGAGUAUGGUAGAGGGAAGUGGAAUUCCAGGUGUAGCGGUGAAAUGCGUAGAUAUCUGGAGGAACACCGGUGGCGAAGGCGACUUCCUGGACCAAUACUGACGCUGAGGCUCGAAGGUGUGGGUAGCAAACAGG
This 253-nucleotide ribosomal RNA is filed under the name uncultured bacterium. RNAcentral describes it as "partial 16S ribosomal RNA". It matches the Rfam family "Bacterial small subunit ribosomal RNA", at positions 524 to 776 of the family's 1533-position model. The record is from RNAcentral.